RNAcentral lists this unclassified non-coding RNA (1091 nucleotides) under Hevea brasiliensis (rubber tree). The record is from RNAcentral. Lineage: Eukaryota; Viridiplantae; Streptophyta; Magnoliopsida; Malpighiales; Euphorbiaceae.
ACAAAAGAGCAGUUUUAUUCAGCGGCCUCUGCAAUGUGUGCUAUCGAAAUUGAAGAAGCCCAGAACAUCACCGCGCCCUUCUCAGAGCAAGUCCGCCUCUUGCUCUUAGUCAACACAGUUUGGGUCUUCCUGGCAACAUAUUGGCUAUGCCACAAAGGGUGAUUCACGAUUCAAGAAUAGACAAAACAGUGUGACCCAAUUAACAAUCCGAGCUCAGUUUUAACCAGGUGAGUCCAUUAUGUUUGGUGUUCUCUGUACAAGAAUGCAAAUUAUAGCUCCUAAUCGGGGGGUUUCAGUGGUAAAACUCAACAAAUCCAUCUGGGUUUUCUUCAUAAUAGCUUGGCUUUCACUAUUAGAUUACUUUCAUCAUCAUUUAACUCAGAGAAGAAAUUGUUUAAACCACAUAAAGGUAAACAGUCCCAAGAAUUUGCUAAAUCUGUCUCUAGGAAGAUGAAUUUUAAAACCGCAGAUAGACCAGAUGGGUCCUUAGCCUUCUCAGAGAUCAUGUUAGCCUUCUCAGAGAUCAUGUAUUCACGAAUGCUCACAUCUCUAAGCUUCUUAGUUAAAAUAUUCAUUUGUGAUUGCACUAAAAUUGAUUUCUGAAAAGUCCCAGAGAACAUGGGAGCAGAAAAUGGAGGUUUAGAGGAGUUGGGGUUUGUCGGAAGAAGAAAUUUGGUCAGGUACUAAUUAUUCCUUCUAUAUGUUUCUUUCAGUAAAGAAAAUUACGAGAAUCAUGGAUUUUCUCGAAAACAGGAUGGGUUGGAGGCCUGCAGACAUUGCCAGAGUUGCAGUUGUUUUUGGUUAUAGUUUGGAGAAGAGAAUUAUCCCAAGGUGCUCAGUUAUAAUCAGAGUUCUGCUAGUGAGAGGCUUGGUCAAGGGAAAAAUAAAUAUACCUUCAAUGGUGAUAAUGGCUGAGAAGCAUCUUCUAUAUGCAUUUGUGAGCAAAUAUCAGGAAAAAGUAUUGAGCAUCUUUUGGGGGGGAAUGACUUUUCCGGAUUUAGGCAAUGAGUUUUGUGUGAUUAAUGUUCUUGCUUGAUGAAGGAAAGUAAAUUACGCGAAGAAAAAUUUCUUAUGCUGAAAAAAGAUAAUCA